This 281-nucleotide unclassified non-coding RNA is filed under the name Hymenochaetales sp. RNAcentral's name for it is "partial contains 5.8S ribosomal RNA, internal transcribed spacer 2, and large subunit ribosomal RNA". The record is from RNAcentral. Lineage: Eukaryota; Fungi; Basidiomycota; Agaricomycetes; Hymenochaetales.
CGCACCUUGCACUCCUUGGUAUUCCGAGGAGUAUGCCUGUUUGAGUGUCUUGUAAUCAUCAAUUCAGCAUUGCUUUUGUGAUGUUGACUUGGAUUUGGGGAUUGCUGGUCUUACGAUUAGCUUCUCUUGAAUGCAUUAGUGGAAUCGAAUUGCAAUGCUACGUGUAGUGUGAUAAUAUCUUCACUGCAUAGUUGUAAUGAAGUUCUGCUUCUAACAGUCCUUCGUUGGACAACACUUGACCAUUUGACCUCAAAUCAGGUAGGACUACCCGCUGAACUUAA